This is a long non-coding RNA of Megalobrama amblycephala (Wuchang bream), 1018 nucleotides long. RefSeq lists it as uncharacterized. The transcript has 7 exons. Lineage: Eukaryota; Metazoa; Chordata; Actinopteri; Cypriniformes; Xenocyprididae. The record is from RefSeq and is a predicted model, not a curated record.
UUUUAGUGUCUUUGAAAAAGUCCGUUAGCAUCUCAACCGUUUUCAGAGGCGGUUGGCUAACUAACUCUAUAUUUUGAGCUCUUGUUUAAUGAAAGUUUGGCUUUUAAUCGCAUCUUUAUGUGUAGAUGAGAUGUUAUAAUAGUUUUGUAAAGGUUUUGCUGGCAAAUUGUUAAUGGAUGAUAGUAAACUAAUUUAUUUAACCUAAAAGUUGCUGUACCGUUAAUCGGUGACGUCACUUGCAUGAGCGCGAAAAUGAACUGAAACUAUUUCAAACAUCUUUUGAUCUCUAAUGGUAAACAGAUAUGGAUAAAUCAUGUCCUGCAGUUUCAGGGUCGACAGAAAAACCCCUCUACAACAAAUGGGAAGCUGACAGAGGAGGAGGAAACACAGAUCCUUCCAUGCUGAUGGCCUCCUGCACCCCAGCAGAGCUGAGCGACCUCCUGUCAAAGGUCCAUGAACCAGAUGACUAUUAUGUUUGCCAGUGAACAGACACCAUACUGUUCCACUAAAAGAUGAGAUGUAAUCUCUAGCGUUUGGUGCUGAGAUUCUUCAGGACAACGCCUUGAUGCCAUUCACACUCAGUACAUGAAGAAGAUUCACCAAACAUCUGGCUGAUUACUGGCAAUUUGCAGUAAUGACAAUGGACAAGUGAAGAGAGUGGAGGGGAGGGCAUCAGAAAGGACCUUGAGCUGCUGCGACUGUCUUGGAUAACCCAAAGCACAACUACACUAUGUGUCCAAGAUCCUGGCCUGUGUCCAUUCUCAAACUGUUCCACGAACCUCCACUGCACAAAAGGCAGUUCCAGGACAGAAAUAUCGGUACCCUCACUCUUCACCAGUCAUCACAUUCACAACCACCACAGUCAACGAAGUCAAGGUCCCUGGUCCACAGCAUCAACCAUCUUUGUAGGAAGAUGAUUACUGCAUUUCUUGAUGUAUCUUUAAAAUUGACAGAUUUCUUAUGGAGUGCAAUCCCUCUCUAGAUGAACUGAGGCCUAACGGUCUUACAAAAUACUGUC